RNAcentral lists this long non-coding RNA (963 nucleotides) under Sorghum bicolor (sorghum). Its description in RNAcentral is "long non-coding RNA (SBIC_LNC013046)". Lineage: Eukaryota; Viridiplantae; Streptophyta; Magnoliopsida; Poales; Poaceae. The record is from RNAcentral.
GCGCAGUCGCGCUCACCCGUGAGGCGUCGUGGUCUCGGGAGGUCAGGGAUUGGUACGCACAGGCACACCUAGUAGUUGUCAAUGCAACAAUGCUGUGAGCGCGCGCACGCGGUCUCUUCAGCUUUUUUACUCCGAUUCUUUUGUGUAUUUUUUUUUUCAAGAUAUGUGUUGAAUAUGUGUUGUGUAUUCUUUAUUAGAUAUGUGUCAAAUAUGUGUACAGUUGGUUACAUUGGACUUGAGUUGUAUUAGGGGCUAGGACAGAGUUGAAGUCAAACUCUUUAUCCUAGGAGGCCAUAAAUAUGAGAUCACCCCUGUUGCAACCAUGAGACGAUUUGGCGGCUGGUUUGGGUGGCGGCGAGGCCGCUGGAUCGUCCAGAUGCCGGUGUAGCUGUUGUUUAUGGGGAGGAGCGACCGUAGUCAUUGCCCCGAGGAUUAAGCAUAUCGCCGAACCUCGUUAAAAAGCAUCGUCCCUCGGUGUCGUUCUAGUUUGCGUAUUUUCUUUUAUGUUGAUUAUGCUUCCGCGUUUAUCGGUUAAUAGAUCCGUUUGGAUCUGGAACUAACCGUGCACUCUAACAAGUGGUAUCGGAGCCAGAUUCAUAUAAAAAGAUCAUGGGAGGUACGAUGGAUAUGUUCCAUACUGUGUAAGGCUCGUACGGGUGUGUGUGGAGAAGGACAUGCGACAAGGUGGAGCAUGGCGGCGAUCGACAACUCCAUCGAUGGAGUUGGAAACUUCGAGCGGGUGGUUUGGACCGUUCAAUGAGCUGCGAUCAACAGAAAUCGUUGUAGAUGUGGAGAUCGGGUUGAUGGCGGCAAGUGGUUGCUGUUCAACGGUGCGGCUGGAAGAAUUGUUAGAUUUAGUCCCACCAUCGGUAAUUGAUGGUGAAGGAGCACAACAUAUAAGGUGGGGGCAAUCCUCACCUAUCAGACUAGUCUUUUGGGUUGAGUUAGGCCCAAUGCCUAUGU